Molecule: microRNA precursor, 74 nt
Filed under: Tursiops truncatus (common bottlenose dolphin)
Lineage: Eukaryota; Metazoa; Chordata; Mammalia; Artiodactyla; Delphinidae
Description: miRNA (ENSTTRG00000022320.1)
Source: RNAcentral
GCGCGCGCGCGCGCGUGUGUGUGUGUGUGUGUGUGUGUGUGUGUGUAGGGGUCACUGCCCAAUCACUCAACACA